AUUGAACGCUGGCGGCAGGCCUAACACAUGCAAGUCGAACGGUAACAGGAAGACGCUUGCUUCUUUGCUGACGAGUGGCGGAUGGUAGAGUAAUGUCUGGGAAACUGCCUGGUGGAGGGGGAUAACUACUGUAAACGGUAGCUAAUACCGCAUAACGUCGCAAGAGCAAAGAGGGGGGCCUUCGGGCCUCUUGCCAUCGGAUGUGCGCAGAUGGGAUUAGCUAGUAGGUGGGGUAACGGCUCACCUAGGCGACGAUCCGUAGCUGGUCUGAGAGGAUGACCAGCCACACUGGAACUGAGACACGGUCCAGACUCCUACGGGAGGCAGCAGUGGGGAAUAUUGGACAAUGGGCGCAAGCCUGAUGCAGCCAUGCCGCGUGUAUGAAGAAGGCCUUCGGGUUGUAAAGUACUUUUAGCGGGGAGGAAGGGAGUAAAGUUAAUACCGUUGCGUAUUGACGUUACCCGCAGAAGAAGCACCGGCUAACUACGUG
RNAcentral lists this ribosomal RNA (490 nucleotides) under uncultured bacterium. RNAcentral's name for it is "partial 16S ribosomal RNA". It matches the Rfam family "Bacterial small subunit ribosomal RNA", at positions 30 to 507 of the family's 1533-position model. The record is from RNAcentral.